RNAcentral lists this unclassified non-coding RNA (273 nucleotides) under Hevea brasiliensis (rubber tree). Lineage: Eukaryota; Viridiplantae; Streptophyta; Magnoliopsida; Malpighiales; Euphorbiaceae. The record is from RNAcentral.
GGGUUAAAUCAAAUGAAGGGCGAGCAUCACUCUCUCUUCUUUGCGCACACACACAAGAAAGACCGCGACCAAGCCAUGCCGCUGAUCCUGCCACAACCUCAGCAGAAGUCGAAUGGCAGGGGUUGCUACCCCGCUCGCUACUCGAUACCUUGAGAUAUCCUCCUGACAGCGACAAAUGACUCACCUCUGUCAUCCAUUCCCCUCUUCUCUCUCUCACUCUCGUCAAUCAUCUAUAUUCACAUGAUCAUCUCACAAACCCUAAACAAUUCCUCC